UUCGGGACGCUGGCGAGUGGCGAACGGGUGCGUAACGCGUGGAAACCUGCCCCGAGGUGUGGGACAACAGUUGGAAACGACUGCUAAUACCGCAUAAGCCUUACGAGGGAAAGGCGCAAGUCGCCUUGGGAGGGGUCCGCGUCGGAUUAGCUAGUUGGUGGGGUAAAGGCCUACCAAGGCGAUGAUCCGUAGCUGGUCUGAGAGGAUGAUCAGCCACACUGGGACUGAGACACGGCCCAGACUCCUACAGGAGGCAGCAGUGGGGAAUAUUGCGCAAUGGGAGAAAUCCUGACGCAGCGAUACCGCGUGGGUGAAGAAGGUCUUCGGAUUGUAAAGCCCUUUCAGCAGGAAAGAUGAUGACGGUACCUGCAGAAGAAGCCCCGGCUAACUCCGUGCCAGCAGCCGCGGUAAUACGGAGGGGGCGAGCGUUGUUCGGAAUGACUGGGCGUAAAGGGCGCGUAGGCUGCUCUGCAAG
Molecule: ribosomal RNA, 475 nt
Filed under: uncultured Magnetococcus sp.
Lineage: Bacteria; Pseudomonadati; Pseudomonadota; Magnetococcia; Magnetococcales; Magnetococcaceae
Description: bacterial SSU rRNA
Rfam family: Bacterial small subunit ribosomal RNA
Source: RNAcentral